UUGAAUUGAGAUCAAUAGUUUAUUCAUUAGAUAUUGAGGUUUAAAUCUGUCAUAGGAAUUACUAGGAUUUGGAUUAGGGUUUGGCUAGGGUUCGGUUUAGGGUUUGGAUUAGGGUUUAGGGUUUUAUUAGGGUUUGGCUAGGAUUUGGUUUAGGAUUUGGAUUAGGAUUUGAAUUAGGGUUUAGGAUUUGGAUAGGAUUUGAUUUAGGAUUUGGAUUAGGGUUUAGGAUUUGGAUAGGAUUUGAUUUAGGAUUUGGAUUAGGGUUUGGAUUAGGGUUUGGAUUAGGAUUUGGUUAGGAUUUGAUUUAAGAUUUGAUUUAGGAAUUAGAAUUUGGAUUAGAGUUUAGGGUUGGAUUAGAAUUUUGGAUUUAGUUAGGAUUUGAUUUAGGAUUUAGAUUAAAGUUUGGACUAGGGUUUGGUUAGGUUUGAUUUAAGAUUUGGUUUAGGGUUUAGAAUUUGGAUUAGAGUUUAGGGUUGGAUUAGGGUUUGGAUUAGGGUUUAGGAUCUGGUUAGGAUUUGAUUUAAGAUUUGAAUUAGGAUUUGGUUAGGAUUUGAUUUAAGAUUUGGUUUAGGAUUUAGGGUUGGAUUAGGAUUUGGUUUAGGGUUUGAUUUAGGGUUUUUUUUAGGGUUUAGGGUUUGAAUAGGAUUUAAUUUAAGAUUUGUUUAGGAUUUGACUUACGAUUUAGGAAUUAUUAGGGUUUAAGAUUUAAUUAAGUUUGAUCUAAAGUUGAGUGAAAUUCAAUAGGAUUUUAACUAGAAUUAAAUUAAGGUUGAAUUGACAUAUAUUUGAGUAAAAUUUGUAAUCAUUCUAAUAUUUCUUUAAGAAUUUUAUUGUUUGUUUGAAAUUUCUUUGAGUUGUUUUGAAUUUGAUUACGUUUAUUUACUAUUAUUAUAGUCUAAUUAGAGCAUUGUUAGUAUUCUAUUUAGGA
RNAcentral lists this long non-coding RNA (928 nucleotides) under Physcomitrium patens. RNAcentral describes it as "long non-coding RNA (PPAT_LNC010193)". The record is from RNAcentral. Lineage: Eukaryota; Viridiplantae; Streptophyta; Bryopsida; Funariales; Funariaceae.